Molecule: ribosomal RNA, 849 nt
Filed under: uncultured bacterium
Lineage: Bacteria
Description: bacterial SSU rRNA
Rfam family: Bacterial small subunit ribosomal RNA
Source: RNAcentral
AGUGUGCGGAAUGUGUGGUGUAGCGGUGAAAUGCUUAGAUAUCACACAGAACACCGAUUGCGAAGGCAGCACACUAAGUCAUUAUUGACGCUGAGGCACGAAAGUGUGGGGAUCAAACAGGAUUAGAUACCCUGGUAGUCCACACUGUAAACGAUGAUAACUCGCUGUCGGCGAUACACAGUCGGUGGCCAAGCGAAAGCAUUAAGUUAUCCACCUGGGGAGUACGACCGCAAGGUUGAAACUCAAAGGAAUUGACGGGGGCCCGCACAAGCGGAGGAACAUGUGGUUUAAUUCGAUGAUACGCGAGGAACCUUACCCGGGCUCGAACGGUGCAUGAAUAUACGAGAGAUUGUAUAGUCCUUCGGGACAUGUAUCGAGGUGCUGCAUGGUUGUCGUCAGCUCGUGCCGUGAGGUGUCGGCUUAAGUGCCAUAACGAGCGCAACCCUUGUCAUUAGUUGCCAUCAGGUCAAGCUGGGGACUUUAAUGAGACUGCCACCGUAAGGUGUGAGGAAGGGGGGGAUGACGUCAAAUCAGCACGGCCCUUAUGUCCGGGGCGACACACGUGUUACAAUGGGAGGUACAGAGGGCAGCUAUCCGGUGACGGAAUGCUAAUCUCCAAAACCUUUCUCAGUUCGGAUUGGAGUCUGCAACUCGACUCCAUGAAGGUGGAUUCGCUAGUAAUCGCGCAUCAGCCAUGGCGCGGUGAAUACGUUCCCGGGCCUUGUACACACCGCCCGUCAAGCCAUGGAAGCUUGGGGUGCCUGAAGUUCGUGACCGCAAGGAGCGACCUAAGGCAAAACAGGUAACUGGGGCUAAGUCGUAACAAGGAACCNAAAGGCAAUCUACUCG